Non-coding RNA from Arachis ipaensis, 461 nucleotides. The record is from RefSeq and is a predicted model, not a curated record. Lineage: Eukaryota; Viridiplantae; Streptophyta; Magnoliopsida; Fabales; Fabaceae.
AAAUUAAAGUAAAAAAGUAACGAAUUCUAUCAUCCUCUUGGUGCUGUGCAUCCACCAACAGCUGCUCUUGUUCUGGAUUGUUUAAACUACCAACACACACCCCAUUCUUUAUUUACCCGAAUCCCGAAUCCCUAAUCUUCUCCCAAAGUCUUUCGCUCUGUCUUACACACACUCCCUCCCUCUACCCAUUCGAACCUCUCUCUCAUCUCUUCCCUGCGGCUUCUGCUCUCCUGUCCCUCUCUCCGCUACGGCUGUGCUCUCUUCUCACCCAGUCUCGGGAUAAGCAUAGUUGGGCUUUCAACUGCAGAGAUGACUAGCUGUCUCACUGAGUAGUUCACUAAUCACUCCCCAUAGACGGGUUAUGAAUAUGCGUCAGUGUCGCAGUUGGAUGUACGAUAGACUUAAACCAGGUCGAAAGGGUUUAACCAGUGAAUUUACAAAAGGGGUGGAAGGAUUUAUUU